Molecule: ribosomal RNA, 1333 nt
Filed under: metagenome
Description: bacterial LSU rRNA
Rfam family: Bacterial large subunit ribosomal RNA
Source: RNAcentral
AAAAAAGCCUCUAGUGAGUGUUGUGGCGGCCCGUACCCUAAACCGACUCAGGUGGUCAGGUAGAGAAUACCAAGGCGAUCGGGUGAACUGUGGUUAUGAACUCGGCAAAUUGCCCCCGUAACUUCGGGAGAAGGGGGACCUCUGCUGGUGAUGGGCUUUACGUUCUGAGCUGGUGGGGGUCGCAGUGGCCAGGGGGAAGCGACUGUUUACUAAAAACACAGGUCCGUGCGAAGUCGUAAGACGAUGUAUACGGACUGACGCCUGCCCGGUGCCGGAACGUUAAGGGGACCGCUUAGCCAGCUUCGGUUGGCGAAGGUGAGAACUUAAGCGCCGGUAAACGGCGGUGGUAACUAUAACCAUCCUAAGGUAGCGAAAUUCCUUGUCGGGUAAGUUCCGACCUGCACGAAUGGCGUAACGACUUCCCCGCUGUCUCAACCACAGACCCGGCGAAGUUGCACUACGAGUAAAGAUGCUCGUUUCGCGCAGCAGGACGGAAAGACCCCGGGACCUUCACUACAGCUUGACAUUGGCGUUUGGAACGUCUUGUGUAGGAUAGGUGGGAGACUAGGAAGCUGUCACGCUAGUGAUGGUGGAGUCAUUGGUGAAAUACCACUCUGGUCGUUUUGAACGUCUAACUCCGGUCCGUGAUCCGGAUCGGGGACAGUGUCUGGUGGGUAGUUUAACUGGGGCGGUUGCCUCCUAAAGAGUAACGGAGGCGCCCAAAGGUUCCCUCAGCCUGGUUGGCAAUCAGGUGUUGAGUGUAAGUGCACAAGGGAGCUUGACUGUGAGACUGACAGGUCGAGCAGGAGCGAAAGCUGGGACUAGUGAUCCGGCAUCGGCGUGUGGAAGCGGUGUCGCUCAACGGCUAAAAGGUACCCCGGGGAUAACAGGCUGAUCUUCCCCAAGAGUCCAUAUCGACGGGAUGGUUUGGCACCUCGAUGUCGGCUCGUCGCAUCCUGGGGCUGGAGUAGUCCCAAGGGUUGGGCUGUUCGCCCAUUAAAGCGGUACGCGAGCUGGGUUUAGAACGUCGCGAGACAGUUCGGUCCCUAUCCGCUGCGCGCGCAGGAGACUUGAAGGGGGCUGUCCCUAGUACGAGAGGUCCGGGACGGACGAACCUCUGGUGUGCCAGUUGUACCGCCAGGUGCACGGCUGGUUGGCUACGUUCGGAAGGGAUAACCGCUGAAAGCAUCUAAGCGGGAAGCUCGCCUUGAGAUGAGGUCUCCCACCCCGUGAGGGGGUAAGGCUCCCGGUAGAUCACCGGGUUGAUAGGCCGGAGGUGGAAGCACGGUAACGUGUGGAGCUGACCGGUACUAAUAGGCCGAGGACUUGACCU